GCACCGAAAGGUCAGAGUGUCUCGGCAGUGCCUCUUCUCUCUGUCCCCAUGGAGAAAGAGGUCGUAUAUGUCUGUGGGUGUACCCAUGGGCCACCAUUCCAUCCCGCCGGGAGCUGGGUCACGACAGACGCCUGCCUAUCGGGAUGGGGCGCGGUUUGGCAGGGCAGGACUGCCCAAGGGCAGUGGCCGGCCCGGAACCACGCUCACAUCAAUGUGCUAGAGCUCAGGGCGGUACAGCUAGCACUCAAUCAUUUUCUGCCUCACUUGAGAGGCAAGCAUGUGCUGGUUUGAUCCGACAACAGGUCAGCUGUUGCCCAGAUCAACCACCAAGGGGGGACCCGGUCUUCACGGCUACUCCGGGUAUCUCGGAACUUGUUGGCCUGGGCAUAUCCCCGCCUGGCCAGAGUACGGGCGGUCUUCAUACCGGGGCAACGGAACCAGGUCGCAGAUUUUUCUAUCGCGGCAGAAGCCCCCACCGGGGGAGUGGCGGCUUCAUCCGGAGGUGGUGGAGACGAUGUGGGUUCUCUUUGGCAGGGCGGAGGUGGACCUCUUUGCAUCAGAGGAAUCCGCACAUUGCCCCCUCUGGUUCUCCUGGAUGGAGGUGACCGGCCCCCUCGGACAGGAUGCCUUAGCUCACGACUGGCCACAGAGUCCUCUGUAUGCCUUCCCACCGCUGCCCCUGAUUCACCCCACACUCCAGAGGGUGUUUCUGCGGGGCUACAGGUUACUUUUGGUGGCCCCCUACUGGCCAGGGAGACUCUGGUUUCCACUGCUGCAGCUCUCCAUGGCGCCUCCCCUGCAGGAAGGACCUCCUUUCGCAGCUGGGGGGUCAGAUUUGGCACCCAGAUCCCCGUCGCCUCCAGCUCUGGGCUUGGCCGCUGCAGGGCCCGACUCACUGCUGAAUGUUUGCACUGAGACCGUCAGGAAUACUAUUCUGAGUGCCAGGGCACCAUCUACCAGAGCACAGUAUGCCAACAGAUGGAAGUUAUUCUCUGACUGGUGUAGGGGUAAGACAGUAGACCCAGCACGUUGCUCCGUGGGCACCGUUCUGGAGUUUUUGCAGUCCCUCCUGGAUGGUGGUCGCUCUCAUUCCACCUUGAGGGUCUAUGUGGCUGCUAUCUCUUCCCGACAUGAGAUGGUCGACGGAGCCACAAUGGGUUGCCACAGGAUGGUGUCCCUCUUCCUUAGGGGGGCCCUGAGGCUGCGUCCCCCUAGGACUCUGAGGACUCCAGCUUGGGACCUGCCCCUGGUGCUGGAGGCCAUGUCAUCACCUCCUUUUGAGCCUCUGACCCAGAGAGGGUUGAGGUGGCUGUGCAUGAAGGUGGCUUUUCUGCUCGCCAUUACCACUGCGAAGCGGGUCGGGGAGUUGCACGCCCUAUCCGUGGCAGAUACAUGCCUGCGGUGGAACUCUGAUGGCUCAGGUGUGGUUUUAUGGCCCAAUGUGGC
Molecule: long non-coding RNA, 1446 nt
Filed under: Gadus morhua (Atlantic cod)
Lineage: Eukaryota; Metazoa; Chordata; Actinopteri; Gadiformes; Gadidae
Description: lncRNA (ENSGMOG00000025612.1)
Source: RNAcentral